This 500-nucleotide ribosomal RNA is filed under the name uncultured bacterium. Its description in RNAcentral is "bacterial SSU rRNA". It matches the Rfam family "Bacterial small subunit ribosomal RNA", at positions 28 to 516 of the family's 1533-position model. The record is from RNAcentral.
GAUGAACGCUAGCUACAGGCUUAACACAUGCAAGUCGAGGGGAAACGACAUCGAAAGCUUGCUUUUGGUGGGCGUCGACCGGCGCACGGGUGAGUAACGCGUAUCCAACCUGCCCAUCACUUGGGGAUAACCUUGCGAAAGUAAGACUAAUACCCAAUGACGUCUCUAGAAGACAUCUGAAGGAGAUUAAAGAUUUAUCGGUGAUGGAUGGGGAUGCGUCUGAUUAGCUUGUUGGCGGGGUAACGGCCCACCAAGGCGACGAUCAGUAGGGGUUCUGAGAGGAAGGUCCCCCACAUUGGAACUGAGACACGGUCCAAACUCCUACGGGAGGCAGCAGUGAGGAAUAUUGGUCAAUGGACGAGAGUCUGAACCAGCCAAGUAGCGUGCAGGAUGACGGCCCUAUGGGUUGUAAACUGCUUUUAUAAGGGAAUAAAGUGAGGUCUCGUGAGACUUUUUGCAUGUACCUUAUGAAUAAGACGGCUAAUUCCGUGCCAGCAGCC